This 206-nucleotide ribosomal RNA is filed under the name uncultured bacterium. RNAcentral describes it as "partial 16S ribosomal RNA". It matches the Rfam family "Bacterial small subunit ribosomal RNA", at positions 568 to 773 of the family's 1533-position model. The record is from RNAcentral.
CAUGCAGGCGGUUAAACAAGUAGGAUGUGAAAGCCCGGGGCUCAACCUCGGAAUUGCAUUCUAAACUGUGUAACUAGAGUAUUGCAGGGGGAGACGGAAUUCCAGGUGUAGCGGUGGAAUGCGUAGAGAUCUGGAAGAACACCAGUGGCGAAGGCGGCUGUCUGGUCUGUAACUGACGCUGAGGCUCGAAAGCAUGGGUAGCAACA